UACGGAGGGUGCAAGCGUUAUCCGGAUUCACUGGGUUUAAAGGGCGCGUAGGAGGGCAGGCAAGUCAGUGGUGAAAUCUCCAAGCUUAACUUGGAAACUGCCGUUGAUACUAUCUGUCUUGAAUAUUGUGGAGGUGAGCGGAAUAUGUCAUGUAGCGGUGAAAUGCUUAGAUAUGACAUAGAACACCAAUUGCGAAGGCAGCUCACUGCGCAAUCAUUGACUCUGAGGCACGAAAGCGUGGGGAGCAAACAGG
RNAcentral lists this ribosomal RNA (253 nucleotides) under uncultured bacterium. Its description in RNAcentral is "partial 16S ribosomal RNA". It matches the Rfam family "Bacterial small subunit ribosomal RNA", at positions 524 to 776 of the family's 1533-position model. The record is from RNAcentral.